This 75-nucleotide transfer RNA is filed under the name Saccharolobus shibatae. RNAcentral's name for it is "tRNA-Val". It matches the Rfam family "tRNA". From Rfam's summary of the family: Transfer RNA (tRNA) molecules are approximately 80 nucleotides in length. Their secondary structure includes four short double-helical elements and three loops (D, anti-codon, and T loops). The record is from RNAcentral. Lineage: Archaea; Thermoproteati; Thermoproteota; Thermoprotei; Sulfolobales; Sulfolobaceae. RNAcentral also lists the same sequence under 4 other names.
GGGCCCGUCGUCUAGCCUGGUUAGGACGCCGCCCUCACACGGCGGAGGUCGCGGGUUCAAGUCCCGCCGGGCCCA